This 2438-nucleotide long non-coding RNA is filed under the name Sus scrofa (pig). RNAcentral's name for it is "lncRNA (ENSSSCG00000052207.1)". Lineage: Eukaryota; Metazoa; Chordata; Mammalia; Artiodactyla; Suidae. The record is from RNAcentral.
AGAUUAGAUCUUUUCUAUUUCUUAGUGUCCUUUAGUUCCUAAGAGGAUGGCUACGGGGGAAUUGUAGCUUUUCUGAGGGUGUGGUUAAUUAUAUAUCACAUCAGUUUUACCAUUUGAACCAUUUUUAAGUGCACAGUUCGAUGGCAUUAAGCACCUUCACAUUGUUGUGCACCCAGCACCACUGUCUGUUUCCAGAGCUUUCUCAUUGCCCCAAACAAACAGAAGCUCUAUAAUCAUUAAACACUAACUCCCUACCCCUCUUUUCCUGCAACCCCCGGUAAUGGCCGUGAACGGUACCUCUUUAAAAAUAAUGUCCUUACUUAGCAAAACUAUUUUGUAAUUUUACAGAUCCUGGUGUCAUUUUAAAGCUCCCAGUGCUUCUCAGCUACGUGGUGGUGGACUAGCUGACAGAGGAGGACUGGGCAACUGCCACCCCCCCCACCACCACAUACUCACCAGGAAGGAACCUUCAAGGCCACAAUCUGCCUGGAGGAAUUGGGGUCGCCCCCCUCUGUCAUGCAAGGGUGGGCACCUAAUGGGCUGGCCAGGAACUCUGCUAGAGCUGCCCUUUGUGGUAGAAAGGCUCUCACACGGUUUUCUCCAGGUUUUCAUUUUACUUAAAAGCUCUUCCUUGCCUGGGGUUUUGAGGUUAAAAACCACUGCCUAGCGCUCCCACGCUCUAAGUGGGAGUGUCAAUUGGUCCUACCAUCAUGAAGAGCAGUUAUGCAGUAGCUUCUGAAAAUAAAAGGAAAAUACCCCUUGACCUGGCAAUUCUGCUUCUGGAAAUUUAUUCUGCAGAUCUGAAAGUCUAUUUGCAUGGAAACCUGUGUAUCAGGAGACUCACUGUGGCACUGUUUGCUCCCAAUUUUCUGAGUUACAAUGCAAAACUCCAUGGAAAGGGAGCUGGUUUAAGAAAUGGUGGUGCCUCUAUCAGCCAAACACUGAGCCCAUCAUUAAAAAGCCCCAGACACAGGAGCCCCCAUUAUGGCUCAGCAGGUUAAGAACCUGACUAGUAUCCAUGAGGAUGCAGGUUCGAUCCCUGGCUUCAUUCGGUGGGUUAGGGAUCCAGCAUUGCCACAAGCUGUGGUCAAUGCAGGAUCCAAGCUGCGUCUGCGACCUACACCACAGUUCACAGCAACCACAAAUCCUUAACCCACUGAGUGAGGCCAGGGAUCAAACCCACAACCUCAUGGUUCCUAGUCAGAAUUCCAAUGUGCUAUGACAGGAACUCCCCAGAAACCUUUUGUGAUGACUAUAAAGAAUACAGAUAGAUUUACACAUCCACGUACACACACACAUAGACAGUAAAGGAAAAGAGAAAUAAGUAUGCCGACCACAAAGAUAAGUGAAUUUAGUCUUGAGGCAAAGCUUGCCUGGCCCUAAAUUCUAAAGGAAAAAUUUCCAUAGGCGACUCCAUAAGAAGACCUGAGCAGAGAGGGAGCGACGCCCCAUGUCACGGUUUCCCCUGGUUUUAGAGCAAAGCAGGCAGGGAUUUGCCAUGGCUGCCAUGGCUCUGUCUGAACAUCCCGGGUAUCCAGUGAAAGCCUAAUAAACACCAAUGGAAGGACCUACAGAGAAGCUACUUGCAGACCACUCAGCUGUACUGGGGUCUAAUGGCAAGGGGUCCUAGUGAGCAGGUUUCAGGGUGGCGGUAUGCAAGGUUGAGAAGCGGUGUGGAAGCAUGUCACCUCUGGACUGACCACCUCUCCUGCCCAUGGCUGAGGGCACAGGCAUGAGAUCACUGUCCUUCAGUGACAGAACACACGCACCCCCCUCACCCCCACCUCUCAUCGUCUUUUCCAAAAGCAGCCAGGCAGGGAUCUUGAUGCACCAGAAGUUUCCUCUUCUAAUCACUACAAGUUAACUGCACAUCCUCCAUGACUGGCUUUUCUUGGAGACCAAGUUGGAAAGCCUUAACCGGAUGGGAUGGUUAGGAGAACCUCUGCCUGUUUUGAAAACAGGCCCCUAGACAGGAAGGAAGGCAAAGUGGGGUCCUCAUGAGAGAGAAGGUACAGUCAACCUGGAACAAGGGCUCUUGGCUUCUCACCACUUAUCCAAUUAUGAGAACCCCCCACAUGCCAGGCACUACGGGGGAUACAGAGAAAUGAGAUUCAACUCCGAACCCCCAGGCACAGGGGGAGGGACAGGGUAACCUUUAACUGCCAUAUCACGUGGAUUAAGGUGACAUAUAAAUUGGAUUAAGGUGACACAAAGGUGGCACGAACAAUCCUGGGUCUCAAUAACAAUUGAUAAGGCAGAGGAUGCUGCUCCAGGUCCUGAAGGACCUCAUCCAAACAGAGGAAUUUUCUUUCAGAUUCCAUAAGGACCACCCAAGACCAAGAGAAACCAAGGGACUCAGGGAAGCUCGUACAGACCUUAUGGGGAUGAUCAGGCCUGGAACCUUGACUCCUACAAUCCAAUUCUACAUCCUACUGCCU